Molecule: ribosomal RNA, 433 nt
Filed under: uncultured bacterium
Lineage: Bacteria
Description: partial 16S ribosomal RNA
Rfam family: Bacterial small subunit ribosomal RNA
Source: RNAcentral
AACGAACGCUGGCGGCAUGCCUAACACAUGCAAGUCGAACGAGACCUUCGGGUCUAGUGGCGCACGGGUGCGUAACGCGUGGGAACCUGCCCUUAGGUUCGGAAUAACUCUCCGAAAGGGGUGCUAAUACCGGAUAAUGUCUUCGGACCAAAGAUUUAUCGCCUUUGGAUGGGCCCGCGUUGGAUUAGCUAGUUGGUAGGGUAAAAGCCUACUAAGGCGACGAUCCAUAGCUGGUCUGAGAGGAUGAUCAGCCACACUGGGACUGAGACACGGCCCAGACUCCUACGGGAGGCAGCAGUGGGGAAUAUUGGACAAUGGGCGAAAGCCUGAUCCAGCAAUGCCGCGUGAGUGAUGAAGGCCUUAGGGUUGUAAAGCUCUUUUACCCGGGAUGAUAAUGACAGUACCGGGAGAAUAAGCUCCGGCUAACUCCGUG